RNAcentral lists this ribosomal RNA (502 nucleotides) under uncultured Glomeromycotina. RNAcentral's name for it is "partial small subunit ribosomal RNA". It matches the Rfam family "Eukaryotic small subunit ribosomal RNA", at positions 591 to 1092 of the family's 1831-position model. Lineage: Eukaryota; Fungi; Glomeromycota. The record is from RNAcentral.
CCAAUAGCGUAUAUUAAAGUUGUUGCAGUUAAAAAGCUCGUAGUUGAACUUCGGGGUCUACCCAUUGGUCAGGCUUAAUUGUCUGCACUGGUGAGAUGGAUCUCUACCUUCUGAGGGACUUUCAUGCCAUUUAUUUGGUGUGGUUGGAAAUCAGGACUGUUACUUUGAAAAAAUUAGAGUGUUUAAAGCAGACUAUCGUCUGAAUACAUUAGCAUGGAAUAAUGAAAUAGGACGGACUGAUUCUAUUUCGUUGGUUUCUAGGAUCACCGUAAUGAUUAAUAGGGAUAGUUGGGGGCAUUAGUAUUCAAUUGUCAGAGGUGAAAUUCUUGGAUUUAUUGAAGACUAACUACUGCGAAAGCAUUUGCCAAGGAUGUUUUCAUUAAUCAAGAACGAAAGUUAGGGGAUCGAAGACGAUCAGAUACCGUCGUAGUCUUAACCAUAAACUAUGCCGACUAGGGAUCGGACGAAGUUAAUUUUAUAAUGACGCGUUCGGCACCUUACG